This 253-nucleotide ribosomal RNA is filed under the name uncultured bacterium. RNAcentral describes it as "partial 16S ribosomal RNA". It matches the Rfam family "Bacterial small subunit ribosomal RNA", at positions 524 to 776 of the family's 1533-position model. The record is from RNAcentral.
UACGUAGGGUGCAAGCGUUGUCCGGAAUUAUUGGGCGUAAAGAGCGUGUAGGCGGCUUGAUAAGUCUGCUGUGAAAGUCCAGGGCUCAACCCUGGAAAGCCGGUGGAUACUGUCAAGCUAGAGUCCGGAAGGGGCGAGUGGAAUUCCUGGUGUAGCGGUGAAAUGCGCAGAUAUCAGGAGGAACACCAAUGGCGAAGGCAGCUCGCUGGGAUGGUACUGACGCUGAGACGCGAAAGCGUGGGGAGCAAACAGG